AGUGAACGCUGGCGGUAGGCCUAACACAUGCAAGUCGAACGGCAGCACAGUAAGAGCUUGCUCUUACGGGUGGCGAGUGGCGGACGGGUGAGGAAUACAUCGGAAUCUACUUUUUCGUGGGGGAUAACGUAGGGAAACUUACGCUAAUACCGCAUACGACCUACGGGUGAAAGCAGGGGAUCUUCGGACCUUGCGCGAUUGAAUGAGCCGAUGUCGGAUUAGCUAGUUGGCGGGGUAAAGGCCCACCAAGGCGACGAUCCGUAGCUGGUCUGAGAGGAUGAUCAGCCACACUGGAACUGAGACACGGUCCAGACUCCUACGGGAGGCAGCAGUGGGGAAUAUUGGACAAUGGGCGCAAGCCUGAUCCAGCAAUACCGCGUGGGUAAAGAAGGCCUUCGGGUUGUAAAGCCCUUUUGUUGGGAAAGAAAAGCAGCAGGUUAAUACGCCGCUGUUCUGACGGUACCCAAAGAAUAAGCAACGGCUAACUUCGUG
Molecule: ribosomal RNA, 492 nt
Filed under: uncultured bacterium
Lineage: Bacteria
Description: partial 16S ribosomal RNA
Rfam family: Bacterial small subunit ribosomal RNA
Source: RNAcentral